Molecule: ribosomal RNA, 465 nt
Filed under: uncultured bacterium
Lineage: Bacteria
Description: bacterial SSU rRNA
Rfam family: Bacterial small subunit ribosomal RNA
Source: RNAcentral
CCUACGGGUCGCAGCAGUGGGGAAUAUUGCACAAUGGGCGCAAGCCUGAUGCAGCCAUACCGCGUGUGUGAAGAAGGCCUUCGGGUUGUAAAGUACUUUCAGCGGGGAGGAAGGUGUUGAGGUUAAUAACCUCAGCAAUUGACGUUACCCGCAGAAGAAGCACCGGCUAACUCCGUGCCAGCAGCCGCGGUAAUACGGAGGGUGCAAGCGUUAAUCGGAAUUACUGGGCGUAAAGCGCACGCAGGCGGUCUGUCAAGUCGGAUGUGAAAUCCCCGGGCUCAACCUGGGAGCUGCAUUCGAAACUGGCAGGCUGGAGUCUUGUAGAGGGGGGUAGAAUUCCAGGUGUAGCGGUGAAAUGCGUAGAGAUCUGGAGGAAUACCGGUGGCGAAGGCGGCCCCCUGGACAAAGACUGACGCUCAGGUGCGAAAGCGUGGGGAGCAAACAGGAUUAGAUACCCUCGUAGUC